CUUCCCCAACCGCCGAAGCAAAAAGGAAAAACGUCUUCUUUUUCGAACGAGUUAUAAUUUGUUUCUUUCGACUUUCUCGGAAAUUAAUCACUCUCAAAUUUCCCGGGAAAAUCCCGAGCUCAGGUUCGUACCCUAAGACCUCAUUUCAAUUGCCUUUGCUUAAAUCUUUUCUUCUUUUCUUUAUUGUUUUCAAGAAUUGGUUCUAUUUCUGGCCCAUAUUCAAUUCUUUCGCAUAGGUUAAUCAUCUCCUCUGUCAUUGAUGUUUUAGGGUUCUUCCUUUGAUUUUUAGUGAAGAAUGUGCUAUUUAUUCUUAUUGAUUUCUGUUAAUUGUAAUUCUGCUUCUGGAAGUUAGGUUCUGGUGGAACUAAGUUGUUUGGGUUUGGCUGACAAAGAAAAAGUGAUUUUCAUUAUUUUACUUGGAUGUUUAGCUUUAUAUUCAAUGAUUGGUUAGUAGAAUAUGUUAAUGCUUCAUGCUUAAAUUGUGAUACUGAUGAUGAGUAUAUGGAUCACUGUGUUUUGUAUUGAUUAGAUGUAUGUUAUAGGUCUGUUAAGUGUAUUAAUUGUAGAAACUGACUUCUAUAGUGCUGAUAAAGUGCAAGGUGUUUCAUUUAAGCUCCACAAUUUUUGGUCCAAGCCUUGACAAAAACUAGGAGUGAGCAUGGGGUUGGGCGAACCUGACUAACCCGAAUCCAACCCACAUUUUGGGCAAAUCUAGUAAGGAUAAUUGAGCUAACAAAUUUAUAAUUUUCUUAACCCAAACAAAAAGUUGGCAAACAUGUUAGCUGGGUUUGCAUGGUGCUUGUAAGGAAGAGAUAUCAUGAUGUCAGACAUUUAUGUCGAAAAGAAGCAUUUUCAGCUUUGAUAAUGCACUAUAUUGGAGGUAGUUUAUGUAUUACAUCAUGAGUUAAAAGGAUAGCUAUUCAUUAUUAUAAAGAUUUUCUUCCUAUUAAAUGCUGUUGUUUUAAUUUUCACAUUAAUUAAAAGUUUCCUUUUCUCAUUGGAGAUUUUGUUUUAUUUACCCGGGCUUCUUCUUUUACGUCCUGAUAGCAAACAUUCGCAUUUGGCUUAGAUGGUAUGCUUGUACUGCAGAAUAUCUUCAAGGAGCUGUUUAGCAGGCAAGAAGGUGGCUGGCUUUUCUCUAUUGUGACACCAUAAUUUUUUGCCAGGAGCAGUUUUCUUAAAGAGAGGAGAAGAGGACCCCUGAAGGGAAGGGCUGAUGAAUUCAUCUUGGACAAAAUAGAUCACUUAAGUGGUGUGAAAGCUCAAAUAAAGUCUAACAAAAAAAAACCGAUAAAGCACGUUUGGUUCAGUGACUCUUCAAAGUUAACUUCACCAUAUAGUCCAAGACCCGGAUUCAAUGGGAUGGAGGGGCAUUUUAUGCUCUUCCUUUUUCUUUUUAUCCAUGGUCGAGGCCUCCAGCAGAUUAGGAGAAAUGUGGUCACUUAACCUUGGUGCUGAAUCAGCAGCAGCCUUCAGCUGGCCAAUCCUCAGUGCUAGCAUAUUCGUACUUGUUGCUCUUCUUCUCUCCAUGUACCUUAUCUUCGAGCAUUUAGCUGCUUAUAAUCAGCCAGAGGUCUAAUCUUGUUCCUCUUGUUAUUUGUCAAAGAAAAAAAAAAGUUUCUUUUUGCACUUUUUUUUCGGUGAUACCCUACUUAAUUUAUCUGCUCUCCUGUGAAAUUUUGUUUUGCUUCUAUCUAAAGAUAACUUUGAUUCAUCUUUUGUGGUGACAUAUCAUUUUUCUUCUCCUUUUAUCUAUUUUCAGGAGCAGAAGUUUCUGAUUGGUCUCAUUCUAAUGGUUCCUGUUUAUGCACUGGAAUCGGUACGACACAUUACGUUCUGUGAUCACAUUCUUCAGUUGUAUGCUAGUUUUACUUGUAACUCUAUAUGAGUUAACUAUUUAUAUUGUGAUGGAUCACACUUUCUUUUAAAUAUAUUGAGUAAAGCUUAGAAACACAUGAGUAUAUAUAAAUGCAGUUCAAGGGCUGUUUUAAAUGAAGGCGUUUUACUACUUAACCCUUCUCAAUUAGUUAGAGAAUAGUUACAAAUUUAGUAUGAAACAGACUAAGAGGAAAAUCAGAUUGGAACAUGAUGCUCAUCCCAAAAGCAUGCUAUUUACAUAGUUAUUAGUAUUGAUAUGGAGCUCAAAUGAAUGUGCAUUCCUCUGGAACGCUAAAUGGGAGUAUACCAAGAGGUCAUGUUUCCUUGUGCAGAUAAAACAAAUUGUAGCAUGCCAGAUAUUUUGAUAAGUAUAUGGAUUCAAUGUAUUAGUUAGAUAUUGACAACUUGUCGAAAUGACAGAUGGAGAAUUUGGAUGUAUUUAAUUUCUUUUGCUAGAUUAGGUUAUUACCCAUUUUAUAGAUAAGUGAGUUUAAUUUCUACUUCUUGUUAAAAACGGAGAUAAUUUGGCAAAGUUUCUCAAAGGAAGGAACUAAACUUUUAGUUCAAAUCCUAGAGUUAUGACAGUUAUAAGAUUUCUGCAUAGAUGGGCCCUUUGUCUACAAUUCUUUAAGGAUUUCAGUUCAUGAAAUCUGUUCUUAUUGUGGAAACUAUAUGACAAAAGUAAGAUUUCUGCAUACAGUUGAUCCUUUUGUUUUUCUUAGUAUCUGACUGCUUUUAUUCUAUCAUGUAUCCAGUUCGUACUGCUUCCCUUUUCAUUAGUACUUACCAUUUGAUGGAUUAGUAAUAUAUUGCGCAUGAUAACACUUUUCGCUGUAGUUUUUGUCGCUGUUGGACUCAAAUGCUGCCUUCAACUGCGAAGCAAUUCGGGACUGCUAUGAAGCUUUUGCAUUAUAUUGUUUCGAGCGAUACCUGAUUGCCUGCUUAGGUAUGUAACGGAAAUGUGAAUGUUGAAUCUUCUGUGAUUAUGAAGUACUUACUACCACACACAGUGGUUUGAAUCAGUAUUCUUUUUUUCCUAGAAGUACUGUUCUUGUGUGCGCAGUCUGUAUGCAUUCAUGCAAACUUAUAUAUUGAUAAGUAAUAUUCCAAUGGAUGAGUAGUUAACCAGGUUUGUUGAACAUCUUUAAUAACAUAAAGCCUGAAAAAAAUCCUUGUUGUGGACAAAUAUUUUUCUAUGUUAAGGUGGUGAGAAGAGGACAAUUGAAUUUAUGGAGAGUCAGAGCGUACUCGAUUCCAGUACACCUCUUUUGAAAGAUGCUUACGCUUAUGGAGUUGUAGAGCAUCCCUUCCCACUAAAUUGCCUCAUAGGUGACUGGCCUCUUGGUCCCACAUUCUACCAUGCUGUGAAAGUGGGCAUCGUUCAGUAUGUAUGUAGUCAUUUCCUGCUGAAACUUUAUUUCAAUCGUUUUAUUUCCUUCGAAGUUUUCCGCCUUAUUUGGUCUUCUCUGACUCAUUAUUUUCCAGAUGAUACUGAAAUUGAUCUGCGCUUUGCUCGCAAUGAUUCUUGAGACUUUUGGUGUUUAUGGAGAAGGGAAAUUUGACUGGAGAUAUGGGUAAUAUAUUUUCUUUUGUAUCAUUUAGGUCUUAAAGCUAACUGUUACAAGUAGAUAAAUCUUUAUGCCUGCUUAGAUGACAGGUUGAGUAUGUCUUAUAUAUUGAUGCUUGAUGCACACACGCACAGACACUUACACAUACUGACACUUUCUUGAGCACAGAAGUUUUUGUGCGUGCUUAGGAUGACUUGUUGGCAGCUGUGAUUUUAUUACAUUUCGCUUUUAAUGAUGGACUUGUUUCUUUUGUAUUUCUCAUUAUAUAUAUAUAUAUAUAUAUUGUUCUGACUUAGUUUUGUUUGCUUGCAGCUAUCCUUACUUGGCAGUUGUUCUUAAUUUUAGUCAGACGUGGGCCCUAUAUUGCCUUGUGCAGUUUUACUCUGUUAUUAAAGACAAAUUACAACCCAUUAAACCAUUAGCGAAGUUUCUGACUUUCAAGUCAAUUGUGUUCUUGACAUGGUGGCAAGGCAUCGCAGUUGCAUUUCUUUUCUCUAUGGGUGCCUUCAAAGGGUCUUUGGCUCAAGAGCUGAAAACUCGCAUACAAGACUAUAUCAUAUGCAUAGAGGUGAGUAAUUUAACUAAUCAUUUACAUGUACUGUUAAAUUGUAUUGAGUUUGAUGUUGUAGGGCAUGAAGGCCUGAUACAUCUUUAACAAUUUGACGUGCAAACGUAAGUGAAUUGAAAUUGAAAGCGUCAAAUUAGUUUUGAAAGGAAGUAGAUAAAUUAAUUAGUUGGACCAAUGUUUUGGAUGAUCAGAAGAAACCCAGGAUCUCAUUGGAGAUCAAGUUUAUCCCGUAGGUGGGUAGUUCUAAGUUAUUGCACUAUAAAGUAGACUCUACUUAGAUUGUAAUCAUACCAUGUUCCUUUAAGGAAAACAAUGGAAGAACCUCCUUUUUGUUACUGUCAGAGUAAAAUCCUGAAGUUCUUAAAAGAAAUAGAAAAACCAAAGGUUAUCUUUUAUAACAAGAUGUUAAGAGGCUCUUGUAUAGAACCCAAAAACCCUAACUAAAUUAAAAACCCUAACUAAAUUAAAUUCUAUCUUUCAAAAUAAUCAGCAGUCCAAAAUAACUGAGGAAGAACAUAAAAAAAGUAUGUAAUUAAAAUAUUCAGCUACAGUACUAUGAACAAUUAAUAGAGCUGUGUGUGAAGAAUGACCGGAAAAUUGUGUACACUUUUCUAAUAAAAGUUUUAAAUUCUGGUUCACCAUUAUUUUAUGAGAACUUUGAGUCAAAUAUUAAACAAUUGUUUUGAACUGGAAAUAAAAUGACUUUGGUGACUUAAGCAUACUACGCUUAUUCCAGUUGUGGCCAAAGUUUAGCUUGAAAUCUAACGAAUCUUGGUAUUCAAGGUUGUUUGGUUUUGAAGGAUGCAUAAACGAGAAUCAAGUGUAACACACUUCUCAAUCUGUUUAGCCAUUUGCAAAUAUUUGGAAAACAGCAUUUUCAGAUGAUGACUGUAGAAUUUGAAUUUGAAUAUAUCUAGAAAUAGAUUCUCUGUUCGUGAUAAUGAUUUGUAUAUUUAAGAUCAUUAGUAAGUCAAUAGGAAGAUUCAGUGAUUAGUUUUAUGUUAGUGGUUGUUACCAUUGUAUUUAUGCUUAUUUUCUUAAUUCAACUAUUGUUAUAUUUAUUUGUCUUAUCAGGAUUGCUUUUGUUUUUAGGUUUUUCAAUAUUAUAUCUUAUUUUUUGUUAGGUUAUUUGAUCAAAGGUGUGGGUCAAUCUUAAAAGCUGAACAAUAAAAGUUCAAUCUCAUUUCCCUUAAUCUUAAAGUUGGAGAAUUACAGUUAUCCAUUGUUGGUAAAAAAAAACAUAAGUAUCUUCUUUAGGACCCACUUGUUAAAUAUUUAGAUACUUGAGGAAUUGAAUAAAUUACUAUGGUUAUCUUUCCAAAAAAUAUUCAACAAUUACUCCGAUUUUAUGUGUAUAAUAGUUUAUGAUACAUGAGUCAAGUUUUCUGAAUAGGUUCUAUGUGUACCUGUUUGUUGUAAGUUCUGGUUGAUGUUCAGUACAUAGAAACUUUUCCAAAUAUGAUCCUGAAGUUCAAAGGGUUGUGAUUUCAAACUUGUCAAACAGAUGGGUGUGGCUGCUGUGGUUCACCUUUAUGUCUUUCCAGCAGUACCUUACAAACGAGGAGAAAGAUGUGUGCGUAAUGUUGCUGUGAUGACUGACUAUGCAUCAUUGGGAGCACCUCCUGAUCCAGAGGAGGUACGUGAUUGUGAAAGAACAACCAGAGUGCAUCUGGCACGGCAUGAUGAGAGAGAAAAGCGCUUGAAUUUCCCCCAAAGUGUUCGUGAUGUGAUUUUUGGAAGCGGUGAAAUUGUGAGAAGUUAACCCUAAUAACUUACUUUUUCAUUUAAAACUCUUUUCUGGACUUUAUCGUCACUUUUAUGUUCUCAUUUGUUGUUUCAGAUUGUUGAUGACAUGAAGUAUACAGUUUCCCAUGUGGUAGAACCAGUCGAAAGAGGAUUUGCAAAGAUAAAUAAAACCUUGCAUCAGAUAUCUGAGAAUGUGAAACGCCACGAGGAGCAGAGGAAGAGCAUAAAGGAUGAUAGUUAUGUUAUCCCCUUGAAUUCAUGGAAUAGAGAAUUUUCUGAAGUUCGUGACAAUCUUGUUGAAGGGAGUAUCAGUGACAGUGGUUUGUCUAGUGGGAGGAGACAGCAGUCCCAGUCUAAAGCUUCAACAUCUCAGAAUAGAGCAUGGAGAUGAUGUUAACAAAAGUAUAUGUAAGAUCAUCACCGGCGUAACUUGUAAAUGGUGUCGUGAGUUCAACGUGAUUUUAGAAGACGUUGAUAUACAUUAGCUGGCCAGAAGAGCUGGUGGUUUAUGGAGCUAACUCGUCAACAAAAACAAACAUUCAUGAAUUUUGGCAUCAAGAAGGAAUCUUCUUGAUCAAAAAAGGAUUGUUUUUUAUGUGCACAGUACAGAAUGGCGGAGCGAUGGACAGAGCUAAUACCACUUUAUCUAUGUGAACGCUAGGCCACAUAACGAUUUGAGUAUAAGCAAUGGAAAUAAAAUUUAAUUUUGGCAGAAGCUAUUCUAGUACAGGAUGUGUUAUGAUAGCCUGUUUCAUCUCUCUCUUGAGACAUGGUUUCUUCAGAAAACUACAUUUGAUUAGGCCAGACUCACUACCUUCUAUAUUGUAAAUUUAGUAGAAAGGGAUCCUUGUGCUCGUUAUAAUUUGGUUAUCAAAUUGCAUUGUGUUUAUUUUGGGUGUGUAGAGCAUUAUCCCAAGUCAAAAUUGUUUCUGUCUUUCCUUUCAGAUCUUGUCUCAUUUAACAAUUUAUUACUUAUUUUGAAAGCGUGG
RNAcentral lists this long non-coding RNA (6749 nucleotides) under Prunus dulcis (almond). RNAcentral's name for it is "sRNA ncRNA". The record is from RNAcentral. Lineage: Eukaryota; Viridiplantae; Streptophyta; Magnoliopsida; Rosales; Rosaceae.